RNAcentral lists this ribosomal RNA (513 nucleotides) under uncultured bacterium. RNAcentral's name for it is "bacterial SSU rRNA". It matches the Rfam family "Bacterial small subunit ribosomal RNA", at positions 33 to 518 of the family's 1533-position model. The record is from RNAcentral.
ACGCUGGCGGCGUGCCUAAUACAUGCAAGUCGAACGGUCUUUCUAUGGAAGCUUGCUUCCACUGAGAAGAUAGUGGCGAACGGGUGAGUAACACGUGGGUAACCUGCCCAUAAGAGGGGGGAUAGCAUCCGGAAACGGGUGCUAAUACCGCAUAGUUUUCUUGAUCGCAUGAUUGAGAAAGGAAAGACGGCCUUUGUGCUGUCGCUUAUGGAUGGACCCGCGGCGUAUUAGUUAGUUGGUGAGGUAACGGCUCACCAAGACGAUGAUACGUAGCCGACCUGAGAGGGUGAUCGGCCACAUUGGGACUGAGACACGGCCCAAACUCCUACGGGAGGCAGCAGUAGGGAAUCUUCCGCAAUGGACGAAAGUCUGACGGAGCAACGCCGCGUGAGUGAAAGAAGGUUUUCGGAUCGUAAAACUCUGUUGUCAGAGAAGAACAAGUUGGAGAGUAACUGCUCCAGCCUUGACGGUAUCUGACCAGAAAGCCACGGCUAACUACGUGCCAGCCGCCGC